GGUGGUUUGUCGCGUCGUCUGUGAAAUUCCGGGGCUUAACUCCGGGCGUGCAGGCGAUACGGGCAUAACUUGAGUACUGUAGGGGUAACUGGAAUUCCUGGUGUAGCGGUGAAAUGCGCAGAUAUCAGGAGGAACACCGAUGGCGAAGGCAGGUUACUGGGCAGUUACUGACGCUGAGGAGCGAAAGCAUGGGUAGCGAACAGGAUUAGAUACCCUGGUAGUCCAUGCCGUAAACGGUGGGCGCUAGGUGUGAGGGUCUUUUCACGACUUUCGUGCCGUAGCUAACGCAUUAAGCGCCCCGCCUGGGGAGUACGGCCGCAAGGCUAAAACUCAAAGGAAUUGACGGGGGCCCGCACAAGCGGCGGAGCAUGUGGAUUAAUUCGAUGCAACGCGAAGAACCUUACCUGGGCUUGACAUACACUGGAUCGCUGCAGAGAUGUAGUUUCCCUUUGUGGCUGGUGUACAGGUGGUGCAUGGUUGUCGUCAGCUCGUGUCGUGAGAUGUUGGGUUAAGUCCCCGCAACGAGCGCAACCCUUGUCUUAUGUUGCCAGCAUUUGGUUGGGGACUCAUGAGAGACUGCCGGGGUCAACUCGGAGGAAGGUGGGGAUGACGUCAAAUCAUCAUGCCCCUUAUGUCCAGGGCUUCACACAUGCUACAAUGGUCGGUACAACGCGCAGCGACACUGUGAGGUGGAGCGAAUCGCUGAAAGCCGGCCUUAGUUCGGAUUGGGGUCUGCAACUCGACCCCAUGAAGUCGGAGUCGCUAGU
RNAcentral lists this ribosomal RNA (767 nucleotides) under uncultured bacterium. RNAcentral's name for it is "bacterial SSU rRNA". It matches the Rfam family "Bacterial small subunit ribosomal RNA", at positions 574 to 1339 of the family's 1533-position model. The record is from RNAcentral.